AUGGUCGGUGGGCCAUCAUCGCUGGCUGAGCUCGACGCCCUCACGGCCGACGACACCUUGUGCACCCUACUCUAUGACAUCAAGGUCCAGAAGGUGGCUGUGGGAAAGGAAACGAUCAUGAAGCCAAAGGACCGCAUGUUCCACAACCGAGAGAUGCCCGAUGGCGUCUUCAAGGUUAACGUGGCCAGUGUCUUAGCGGGGUUCGAGGAUUUGCCUCCUCCGGUACCAUUCGAUGACGACGAGACCCUUAAGAUGAUUGGCGCAUGCAUGAGCUGGUUCUUGUCUUGGCCCAAGUCUCUUCUUCGUCUCGAGGCUCCCAGUAUCAUGCCAAUGCCACCUUCUCAAGAAGGUAUGAACACCACCCCACCUACCACAUUACCUGCACCUGUCGUGGCGAGUGAUAGCAGACGACGCGAGGGAGAGCCUCCAUUAGUGCCAGAUGAUGUAGCCCCCGUUGUUAAAGAAUCAAAUGUUGAUGAUGACAUGGAGGAUGAUGAUGAUGACCCAGACAAGUAA
Molecule: ribosomal RNA, 516 nt
Filed under: Triticum aestivum (bread wheat)
Lineage: Eukaryota; Viridiplantae; Streptophyta; Magnoliopsida; Poales; Poaceae
Description: partial small subunit ribosomal RNA
Source: RNAcentral